UUUCUCUCUCCCUCUACCUCUCAGAAAACCUACUGAUGGAGCGAAGAUUGCAGGCUGGAUCAUUUCAAAGUGCCUUGGUCAAAGGACUUGCCCAGGAGGCAACUUAAAGCCACUGAACUUUUGGUGAUGAGCACCAGCCAUAAAUCAAAGAAGUAGAUCCCCAGGCAAGUAAAAUAUAGAAAGAAUCAGAGGCCAAGCCAGGCAAAGACCUAGAAGAUCAGUCACAACAAUUCAGAUGAGAAAUGAUGCAGCUGACGGAAGAGAGAGGCUGUGGGAGCCAACAGGCAGAAAUUUAUUGGCUCACAGUCCUGGAGGCUGGAAGUCUAAGAUCAAGGCAUCUACAUCAGAUGAGGAUCUCCUUGCUGCUUCAUUCAUCAUAUGGUGGAAGGUCAGGCAAUCAUUUCAUUUCUAUAUUUUUGUAUAAGGAACAGACAAUGACUCUCAACCAAUGCAGCUACAAAGACAAAAGAUGCCCUUCAAUGCAUCCCACAUGGCCCCUCCCCAUGCCAUCUGCCUUGUCAUGUGCAUACCCGUGCUGAGAUAAGACCUCUAUAGGCCUAAGGCACAGAUAAAUUGUUGACACCCACCCCCUUGUCUAUUCAAACACUACGUAAUUCAAAAUCCAAAUAAUGAUAAUUUCUAAAAGCAGAGUUAAGGAAAUUUCAACAUGACCUCAUUUUUUUUUCUCCUGAUCACUACAGCAAUGUGUUUUUUAACAGCAUUAUUUAGGUAAGAUGAACAUACCGUAAAAUAUAUCCAUUGGGAUUGUACGAUUCAGUGGUUUUUAGUAAAUUCAUGCAGCUAUGAAGCCAUCACUACAAUCCAGUUGCAGAAAAUACCAUCUUCUCUGAAAGCUCCCUCAGGCCCGUUUGCAUCAAUCCCUUCUACCAUUCCACCAAUCCCAUCCCUGGUCAAUUACUGAUCAGUUUUCUGUCUCUAAAGAUUUACCUUUUUCAGAAUUUUAUAUAAAUAGAAUCAUGAAGUGUAUGGCUAUUAGUGUCUGUUAAUGUAGUUUUUGCCUUUGUGUUUUGAAAUAAUUACAGAUUCACAGAAAGUUGCACAAGCGUAACAAUGAGGUCUCAUUUAUACUUCACCCUAUCUCUCCUAAUGGCGACAUCUUAUGUAACUAUAGUAACAAUAUCAAAAUCAGGUAUUUGCAUUGGUACAAUGUGUGUAUAUAGUUCUAUGUCAUUUUAUUACAUGUGUUGGAUAACAUGCAUAGAUUUGUAUUACAUGUGUAGACUUUGUCAUUUUGAGAAUGUUAUGUGAAUGAAAUCAUGCAAUAAAUGACUUUUUAAAUUUAA
This 1304-nucleotide long non-coding RNA is filed under the name Homo sapiens (human). RNAcentral's name for it is "HSALNT0335651". The record is from RNAcentral. Lineage: Eukaryota; Metazoa; Chordata; Mammalia; Primates; Hominidae.